AUUGAACGCUGGCGGCAGGCCUAACACAUGCAAGUCGAGCGGCAGCACUUCGGGUGGCGAGCGGCGGACGGGUGAGUAACACGUAGGAAUCUACCUAGUAGUGGGGGAUAGCCCGGGGAAACUCGGAUUAAUACCGCAUACGCUCUACGGAGGAAAGGGGGCGUUCGGCUCUCGCUAUUAGAUGAGCCUGCGUCGGAUUAGCUAGUUGGUGAGGUAAAGGCUCACCAAGGCGACGAUCCGUAACUGGUCUGAGAGGAUGAUCAGUCACACUGGAACUGAGACACGGUCCAGACUCCUACGGGAGGCAGCAGUGGGGAAUAUUGGACAAUGGGGGAAACCCGUAGAUCCAGCCAUGCCGCGUGUGUGAAGAAGGCCUCGGUUGGUAAGUACGACUUCUAGUUGGGUAGGAAAGUAGGUACG
Molecule: ribosomal RNA, 420 nt
Filed under: uncultured bacterium
Lineage: Bacteria
Description: bacterial SSU rRNA
Rfam family: Bacterial small subunit ribosomal RNA
Source: RNAcentral